This 431-nucleotide ribosomal RNA is filed under the name uncultured bacterium. RNAcentral's name for it is "bacterial SSU rRNA". It matches the Rfam family "Bacterial small subunit ribosomal RNA", at positions 354 to 776 of the family's 1533-position model. The record is from RNAcentral.
GUGGGGAAUAUUGCGCAAUGGACGAAAGUCUGACGCAGCAACGCCGCGUGAGUGAUGAAGGUCUUCGGAUCGUAAAGCUCUGUCGGCAGGAACGAUGUUUUUGAGAGCUAAUAUCUCUCGAAAUUGACGGUACCUGCAAAGGAAGCACCGGCUAACUCUGUGCCAGCAGCCGCGGUAAUACAGAGGGUGCAAGCGUUGUUCGGAAUCAUUGGGCGUAAAGGGCGCGUAGGCGGUUGAUCAAGUUGAAUGUGAAAGCCCGGGGCUCAACCUCGGAAGUGCAUUCAAAACUGGUCGACUAGAGUUCCGCAGAGGAUGGUAGAAUUCCCAGUGUAGAGGUGAAAUUCGUAGAUAUUGGGAGGAAUACCAGUGGCGAAGGCGACCAUCUGGACGGAUACUGACGCUGAGGCGCGAAAGCGUGGGUAGCAAACAGG